This 253-nucleotide ribosomal RNA is filed under the name uncultured bacterium. Its description in RNAcentral is "partial 16S ribosomal RNA". It matches the Rfam family "Bacterial small subunit ribosomal RNA", at positions 524 to 776 of the family's 1533-position model. The record is from RNAcentral.
UACAGAGGGGGCAAGCGUUGUUCGGAUUUACUGGGCGUAAAGGGCGCGUAGGCGGCCUGGCAAGUGGAAGGUGAAAUCCCUCGGCUUAACCGAGGAACUGCCCUCCAAACUGCUUGGCUUGAGACCGGGAGAGGUGAGUGGAAUUCCCAGUGUAGCGGUGAAAUGCGUAGAUAUCGGGAGGAACACCAGUGGCGAAGGCGGCGAUCUGGGAAGAUACUGACGCUGAGGUGCGAAAGCGUGGGGAGCAAACAGG